Molecule: transfer RNA, 81 nt
Filed under: Dendrothele bispora CBS 962.96
Lineage: Eukaryota; Fungi; Basidiomycota; Agaricomycetes; Agaricales
Description: tRNA-Met
Rfam family: tRNA
About the family: Transfer RNA (tRNA) molecules are approximately 80 nucleotides in length.
Source: RNAcentral
GGAAGCUUAGUGUAGUGGUUAUCACGGCUGGGUCAUCGUACAGUGUCUCAGCAGACCUCGGUUCAAUUCCAGGAGCUCUCA